RNAcentral lists this transfer RNA (68 nucleotides) under Tylonycteris fulvida. Its description in RNAcentral is "tRNA-Val". It matches the Rfam family "tRNA". From Rfam's summary of the family: Transfer RNA (tRNA) molecules are approximately 80 nucleotides in length. Lineage: Eukaryota; Metazoa; Chordata; Mammalia; Chiroptera; Vespertilionidae. The record is from RNAcentral.
CAAAGUGUAGCUUAAAUUAAAGCAUCCGGCCUACACCCAGAAAAUUUCAACUCACUUGAACACUUUGA